Molecule: transfer RNA, 72 nt
Filed under: Camelus bactrianus (Bactrian camel)
Lineage: Eukaryota; Metazoa; Chordata; Mammalia; Artiodactyla; Camelidae
Also listed under: 2 other names
Rfam family: tRNA
About the family: Transfer RNA (tRNA) molecules are approximately 80 nucleotides in length.
Source: Rfam by way of RNAcentral
GAGGGUAUAGCUUAGUGGUAGAGCACAUGCUUAGUUUGCAUGAGGUCCUGGGUUUAAUUCCCACUGCCUCCA